This 136-nucleotide microRNA precursor is filed under the name Olea europaea subsp. europaea. The record is from RNAcentral. Lineage: Eukaryota; Viridiplantae; Streptophyta; Magnoliopsida; Lamiales; Oleaceae.
UUUGUGGGGAAUGAAGCCUGGUCCGACGAAACUAACUUCAUAAGUGAAUAUGACUCGUUCAUGAAACGACGAUGAAAGGAUUAGGAAUUGGGUUUGCGAAAUUGGUUUCAUCGAGCCAAACAACAUUCCCCUCAAA